Molecule: long non-coding RNA, 645 nt
Organism: Mus musculus (house mouse)
Lineage: Eukaryota; Metazoa; Chordata; Mammalia; Rodentia; Muridae
Product: predicted gene, 40002
Exons: 3
Source: RefSeq, a predicted model, not a curated record
GUUUUUACCUCAGCUGCCCUCUGUCACUUCUUUCAGGCAGCUAGCCAAGUUGUAGGAGGAGAGCCAUGCUAAUUUUAAUGUUUUGUUUUAAGCCUUAUAAACAACUGAAAGUGUUUCUUCAGAAAGAAACUGGGCUCGGGUCCAGCUCCCGCCAACACCACUGCAUCCCACGGUCUCUCGAGUCUGAUCCUGCUUGCUACUCCACGGGCAGAGGCCGUUGUCAGGAGCUUCUUUUCGGCAGAGUUCCUGGAUUAGAAUCUGCUCAGCUCAUCACACGUUUCUGCAUCAUGGAGGAGACGGUAGAAAUGGAGCGUCCGCAAAGCCAGUGCCAGCCUUGGAGGAGCAGCUGGAUGGCUGCUUACAUUCCAUGUGGAUCUUCCUACCUCAGAAAAUCCCUCACAGAUGCGGCCAGAGAUUGGUCCUCUUGACACGGGCUGUGGCCAUGUCCUCACCCAGGAUCUUAGCUUCAGUCUGCCAGAUUGCAUGGUGCUAACCCUGCAGAGGCCUGCACCUUCCCUCCUGUGUCCGAGACAGAUGCCGCCUUCUCCCAGGAGACCUUCCUAGUGGUCCUGUUUCAAAGUGUAUACCUCCUUUUUGAUUCUUUCUUGUCUUCAAAAAUGGUCACAAUCAUUAAAGUUUUUACCU